GAAGGAGAAAAGGUGGAAAACUGCAAACAACAGCUCAGAGCCAUGCAGCUUUGGUUCCUGUUCUAAGCAGUUCUGUCACAGUACACACUUCUCUGAGGACCACCAUCUCUGGAUUGAGGGCAGGAGUUUGAUUUGCAAAGUAGUGAGACGAUACAGGCGCUCCCUCCUCCUCCUCCUCAGUGUCCUCUGGGGCGCCUCUGGCGCCUGGGGAACCAUCCUCAGCUACAAACAGGAAAUGUAGACAUUUACAGGUGACCCUGGGUUUGGAGCCCAAUACCAGCUGCUCUCCUGCUGAAUGGACUCAACACCUCAGCAGGAAUUAAACAUUUUAUUUUGAAAAGCUCAA
Mus caroli (Ryukyu mouse) is the source of this 346-nucleotide long non-coding RNA. RefSeq lists it as uncharacterized. NCBI's taxonomy places the organism in Eukaryota, Metazoa, Chordata, Mammalia, Rodentia, Muridae. The record is from RefSeq and is a predicted model, not a curated record.